CGCUAUCACUCCUACGGGAGGCAGCAGUAGGGAAUCUUCCACAAUGGGCGCAAGCCUGAUGGAGCAACACCGCGUGAGUGAAGAAGGGUUUCGGCUCGUAAAGCUCUGUUGUUAAAGAAGAACACGUAUGAGAGUAACUGUUCAUACGUUGACGGUAUUUAACCAGAAAGUCACGGCUAACUACGUGCCAGCAGCCGCGGUAAUACGUAGGUGGCAAGCGUUAUCCGGAUUUAUUGGGCGUAAAGAGAGUGCAGGCGGUUUUCUAAGUCUGAUGUGAAAGCCUUCGGCUUAACCGGAGAAGUGCAUCGGAAACUGGAUAACUUGAGUGCAGAAGAGGGUAGUGGAACUCCAUGUGUAGCGGUGGAAUGCGUAGAUAUAUGGAGGAACACCAGUGGCGAAGGCGGCUCACUGGCUCGAUACUGACGCUGAGGUGCGAAAGUGUGGGGAGCAAACAGGAUUAGAUACCCUGGUAG
This 473-nucleotide ribosomal RNA is filed under the name uncultured bacterium. RNAcentral's name for it is "bacterial SSU rRNA". It matches the Rfam family "Bacterial small subunit ribosomal RNA", at positions 328 to 793 of the family's 1533-position model. The record is from RNAcentral.